RNAcentral lists this ribosomal RNA (273 nucleotides) under uncultured bacterium. RNAcentral describes it as "partial 16S ribosomal RNA". It matches the Rfam family "Bacterial small subunit ribosomal RNA", at positions 524 to 796 of the family's 1533-position model. The record is from RNAcentral.
UACGUAGGGUGCGAGCGUUGUCCGGAAUUAUUGGGCGUAAAGGGCUCGUAGGCGGUUUGUCGCGUCGGGAGUGAAAACACUGGGCUUAACCGAGUGCUUGCUUCCGAUACGGGCAGACUUGAGGCAUUGAGGGGAGAACGGAAUUCCUGGUGUAGCGGUGAAAUGCGCAGAUAUCAGGAGGAACACCGGUGGCGAAGGCGGUUCUCUGGCAAUGUUCUGACGCUGAGGAGCGAAAGUGUGGGGAGCGAACAGGAUUAGAUACCCCCGUAGUCC